Long non-coding RNA from Nymphaea colorata (pocket water lily), 699 nucleotides. RefSeq lists it as uncharacterized. The record is from RefSeq and is a predicted model, not a curated record. Lineage: Eukaryota; Viridiplantae; Streptophyta; Magnoliopsida; Nymphaeales; Nymphaeaceae. The transcript has 3 exons.
GUCAAACUUGAGUUCUUGUGGAGAAUUGCAGAACUCUGCAGAAAACAGGGGAAAGAGAAGUCGGCAGGAAAAACAGAUGCGCUCAAUUCUUCCUGGAUUGCUGCACGCCAACUUGGAGAUUGACACGCUUCAGUGAAGUUUGUGGGCUCCUUUUGUGCAUAUAUUUUGGUCAGGUAGCUUUGAUACAGCUCAGAGUGGCCUCCUUAUUCUUGUAGAUCUUCUGACCUGUUGUUGUUGAGAUUCAUGAGAACUAGUGUCGCUGUUACUGUUAUUGUUUUCAAUACCAUUCUCGUUGCUUGUGGAUUCACUCAUUGAUACAUCAGUUUCUGUAUAAGUUCCUGUAUCUGUCAUUGGUGACAAGGCAGGUAACGGUAAUGAUGGCGAUGGCAGAGAUGGUGACAUUCGAGGAGCCACCCAUCUCUUUAUCCACUCCCCCUGAUUUAAACUCUGCACGUCAGUAAAGUAUGGCAGAUCUUCUACUACCUUGACAUCUCUUGAAAUGUAGAAUUUUCCAGAGUUUGAAUCGAAGCACUUGUAUCCCUUCUUUGAGGAGGAGUAACCAAGAAAUACGCACUUGAUAGCACGUUUUUGGAAUUUGUUUCUGUAAUGAUCUUGUACAUGCACAAAACAGGUGGCACCAAAUACACGCAGAUGAGCAAGAGAUGGUUGUCUAUUAUAUAAUAUUUCAAAUGGACUUUU